Molecule: ribosomal RNA, 371 nt
Filed under: uncultured bacterium
Lineage: Bacteria
Description: bacterial SSU rRNA
Rfam family: Bacterial small subunit ribosomal RNA
Source: RNAcentral
AUUGAACGCUGGCGGAAUGCUUUACACAUGCAAGUCGAACGGUAGAGGGGCAACCCCUUAGAGAGUGGCGAACGGGUGAGUAAUAUAUCGGAACGUGCCCAGUCGUGGGGAUAACGUAGCGAAGUUACGCUAAUACCGCAUACGAUCUAAGGAUGAAAGCGGGGGAUCGCAAGACCUCGCGCGAUUGGAGCGGCCGAUAUCAGAUUAGGUAGUUGGUGGGGUAAUGGCUCACCAAGGCGACGAUCCGUAACUGGUCUGAGAGGAUGAUCAGUCACACCUGGAACUGAGACACGGUCCAGACUCCUACGGGAGGCAGCAGUGGGGAAUAUUGGACAAUGGGCGAAAGCCUGAUCCAGCCAUGCCGCGUGUGU